UGCGAUCAAUUCUUGCGGAAAAUACUGUUUCCCGUCCGAUCAACAAGCGUCAAGCCGUGAAGAGCCUCAGUGAGUAAUAUAGUGGGAGACCAUAUGUGAAAUUGAGGUGUUGCAGUC
Ribosomal RNA from Candidozyma pseudohaemuli, 117 nucleotides. The record is from RefSeq and is a predicted model, not a curated record. NCBI's taxonomy places the organism in Eukaryota, Fungi, Ascomycota, Pichiomycetes, Serinales, Metschnikowiaceae.